GUCUACGGCCAUACCACCCUGAACGCGCCCGAUCUCGUCUGAUCUCGGAAGCUAAGCAGGGUCGGGCCUGGUUAGUACUUGGAUGGGAGGAUCUCAAAGAGAUAUUGACC
RNAcentral lists this ribosomal RNA (110 nucleotides) under Mustela putorius furo (domestic ferret). Lineage: Eukaryota; Metazoa; Chordata; Mammalia; Carnivora; Mustelidae. The record is from RNAcentral.